UUGUACGUCUUAGUUAUAGCUAUAUGCCUGUACAUGACCCAUAUCAUGAAAUUAUUUGUUGUGUAGCUUGAAGAACUUCGGGCUGAUAUCGUGGACCUGAAGGAGAUGUACAGAGAACAAGUAAACACUCUUGUAAAUAAGCUCCAGGUGUUGAGUUCAUCAAUUGGUGCUGCUUAAAGGAGUGGUCAGUUCUUAAGGGUGCAAAAAUAUACUAUACAUUAUUACAGUAAAAUCAUUGUUUUACCCUUCUUUUUUCCCUUGAUGAAAGAUCUUGUAUUUUGAAUGAUUAGUAUUUUU
This 297-nucleotide long non-coding RNA is filed under the name Helianthus annuus (common sunflower). RNAcentral describes it as "sRNA HanXRQr2_Chr09g0400421". Lineage: Eukaryota; Viridiplantae; Streptophyta; Magnoliopsida; Asterales; Asteraceae. The record is from RNAcentral.